UUACAUAUCAAAAUGAUUAGCCAAUUUAAUGUUACAAUCCAGCUAUAUAUAUUUUGCCCUUUCAUUUCAUACUUUACCCAUGGGGGAUUUCCAACAAAAAUGCUUUUUGAAAAGGUAUCGUUUUAGAUGUUUAAAAAAAAAAAAAAAGCCAUUUAAAGAAGUUACAGUUGUUUUGGAGUCUUAAUGAUUAAAACAAAUCAAA
This 202-nucleotide unclassified non-coding RNA is filed under the name Hevea brasiliensis (rubber tree). The record is from RNAcentral. Lineage: Eukaryota; Viridiplantae; Streptophyta; Magnoliopsida; Malpighiales; Euphorbiaceae.